RNA transcript from Eucalyptus grandis, 5192 nucleotides. It is a transcript of the gene named probable receptor-like protein kinase At5g39020, with no coding region annotated. The transcript has 4 exons. The record is from RefSeq and is a predicted model, not a curated record. Lineage: Eukaryota; Viridiplantae; Streptophyta; Magnoliopsida; Myrtales; Myrtaceae.
UUCUUGCAUCGAGCAGUGGAGAGAUGAUCAAUUCUCUCGGUUCCAUAUGUAUGUACCAUGUGCUUUUGUUCAUAUUACAAGUUCUGCUAUUAGGUACAAGUUGCGGUGCGAAGAAAAAUCAUUUAUGCAUCGCUUCGUCUUGUGGUGAGAUCCGUAAUAUAAGUUAUCCCUUUCGAUUGAAAAACGAUCCAAAAUACUGCGGCAACUCGAAGUUUGAGCUAGUUUGUGAAAAUAACCGCACGGUUUUAUAUCUGCAAGCUGAUAGUAGAUAUUAUGUGAAGUCGAUCUAUUACGAUUCGUAUCACGACGAAUCUAGCUUCCGUGGUUACAUAACGGUGGUUGAUGAUGGCUUGCAAGAGGGUAAUUGCUCAUCCCUCCCUCGUCACUCGUUGAGGCGCGCCAUAUUUCGAAGAGUUUUCGACAAUUAUCUUUCAAGGCAAGUGGUCUUUGUGAAGUGCUUAUUGCCCGUUGCUUCUAAUUCGUAUCUUGAUACCAAACCGUGCAUCGAGGGAGCAUACUCUGCCGGCACGCCUCCAAAUUUUUCCCAAACGAAGGGGUACUCAUACGCUGCUCUUGAAGCUCACGCAUCGGACAUCAAGGAUUUUUGCACUAUAACCACGGUGACAUUUGCAUCAGACUAUUUCUCGUGUUGGGAGAGGGAUCAGUAUUAUCGUGUGUGCCCAUCAUACAGCUCAUCAUACAAGGACAUCCACAACGGGAUGGCGCAGGGAUUCAAUCUAUCCUAUCAGAAUGGUGGUGGACUAGCUGCACUUUGCAUCUUGGGUUUCGACUACCGCGAGAGGUGCAGGGUCUAUGACUCCGUCAUCUCGAACAAAUUCUUCUUGCUUUCUACAGAUACUUCUAUGGCGGCGAUAGUAACGAGAUAUGCACCUCCUCUUCUCCCCCAUUUGUUAGUUUUUUCCACAGAAAACUUCCUCGUGGCAAAAUUCAUGCUGGGAGCUGCAUGUGUGUUGAUAUUUUUAGUCUAUAAGUGGAAGAGAAGGCACCGAGCAAUGGAUGAAAACAUCGAAGAAUUCCUAGUAGCUCAUAACAACUUUUCACCUAUAAGAUACUCUUACUCAGACAUCAAGAAAAUCACAAAAAAUUUCAAACACAAAUUAGGGGAAGGAGGAUAUGGCUCUGUGUUCAAAGGAGUACUUAGAAGUGGCAACGAAGUUGCUGUUAAGAUUUUGAGCAAACCAAAUUCUAAUGGUCAAGAUUUUAUAAGUGAAGUGGCUACUAUUGGAAGGAUCCACCAUGUUAAUGUGGUGGAACUUGUUGGUUAUUGCUUUAACAACUCGAAGCAAGCUCUCGUGUACAAUUUCAUGUCGAACGGAUCUUUGGAUAAGCACAUUUUCUCAAAAGAUGGUGACGAUUCUCUUGAUUCUAAGAAAAUGUAUGAGAUCUCUCUUGGUGUGGCUAGAGGGAUAGAAUAUUUACAUCGAGGAUGUGACAUGCAAAUUUUGCACUUUGACAUCAAGCCUCACAAUAUUCUUCUAGAUCAAAAUUUCACUCCAAAAGUUUCUGACUUUGGGCUUGCAAGACUUUAUCCCAUGGACCACAGCAUAAUAUCGUUAACUGCAGCAAGAGGAACUUUAGGAUAUAUGGCUCCCGAGCUAUUCUACAAGAACAUUGGUGGUGUCUCGUAUAAAGCUGAUGUUUAUAGUUUUGGGAUGUUGCUAAUGGAAAUGGCAAGUAGGAGGAAAAAUGCAAAGAAUGUUGAGCAUUCAAGUCAAACUUAUUUCCCUUUGUGGGUCUAUGAUCAACUCAGCAAAGAAAGCGAGGUUGAAAUGGAAGAAGUGGAAGGGGACAAUGAGAUAACAAGGAAGAUGGUGAUAGUUGCCCUUUGGUGUAUACAAUUAAUCCCUGAUGAUCGGCCAUCAAUGAGCAGAGUCCUAAACAUGCUUGAAGGAGAUAUUGAUAAACUGCAACUGCCUCCAAAACCGCUUUUGUAUCCAUCCGAGAAGCCGUUUGAUGAUAACGCUGAAAUAGAACUUGAAUCAUUCUCAGAUACAUCAAGUGCUCCAACAAUUUCUGAAGGAUACCGAUUUCAGAAUAGCAAUGAAGUUACGGAAUCGUCCAUUGUAUGAUUCUUUUUCUUUCCUGUUUGAAUGAAUGCCAAAUAAACGUAGUUCCAUCCGAAGCAUAAUUGACUAUGUAAAUCGUGAUUUCGGCGUUUGUAGCAUCCUGUGUUUUGCAGAAGAAUUGCCUCUUUGGCCAUCUGUUUUCAUCUCUGUUUCCUGAUAUUUCAGACCAGGCUCGACUUGUAUAAUGCAAUGAGUCCCUCUCUCUCUCUCUCUCUCUCUCUCUCCUCCCCUUCGCUCGCCCCUCGACCGCCUCCUGGUCGCCCACCUCGAUGUCUCCGAACUCCGCGGAGCAAUCUUCCACCCCGACCUCAUGUCGCGGCCUCCUCACCUUCUCUCCUCCUCAAGUCCUGCAUUCCUUCCCGAGGGUUCGCGCUCGGGAAGCGCGUCCAUCGCGCGCUCGCGCCGUCUCAGCUUGAGCCCGAUUCGGUGAUUCUCAACUCGCUCAUCAGUCUCUGCUCAAAAUUCAAUGACUGGGCUGAGGCGGAGAGGACUUUUUGGGACAUGGGUAAUAAUAGGGAUUUGGUUUCUUGGAGCUCCAUGAGUUCUUGCUAUGCCAAUAACCACAUCGCGGAUGAAGCAGUCGAUAUUUUAGCUCAUUUGCUUGAAGAUGGGUUUUUCCCUCGGCUUGUUCGGGUCCAAAGAAUGCAUCAACUGGUGAUAGAGCUUCGAGUUUAUAAUCAAAAGCGGCUAUCUUGAUUCUGAUGUGUGUGUCAGGUGUGCAUCAAUUGACAUGUUUUCAAAGGAUAGUGCUGAUUUGAUUUCAGCUCAUAAGUUGUUUGAGAAAAUGCCCGAGAGAAGUGUGGUUGCGUGGACUUUGAUGAUGACAAGAUGUACUCAGUUGGGUGGUCCAAAGAAUGCUGUUGAUUUGUUUUUGGAUAUACUGGUGAGUGGGCUGUGCCAGAUAGAUUUACACUUACAGUUGUUUUGUCGGCACGUUCAAGGUUGGAGCUAAUAUCCCUUGGGGUGCAAUUGCAUUCCUGUAUCAUAUGGUCUGGACUGGCUUCAGAUGUUUGUGUUCGAUGCAGCUUGGUGGACAUGUACGUGAAGUGUGUGGCUAGUGGAUCGAUUCAUGAUUUGAGAAAGGUGCUUAAUCGGAUGCAAGAUCACAACGUGAUGUCUUGGACACCAAUAAUCAGAGGAAAUGUGCAAACUGAAGAGAAUGAGGAGGCCAUCAAACUCUUUUGGGAAAUAAUAAAAGAUCCACCAAGGCCACACCAUUUCACAUUUGCUAGUGUUCUCAAGGCAUGUGGAAUUAUUUGUGAUAUUAGAUAUGGGGAUACGAGUAUACUCUGUAGCUAUAAAAAUUGUGCUUUGCAUUUGAUACUUACGUGGGUAAUUCUCUUAUUAGCAUGUAUUCCCAGUCGGGCCACAUGGAAGAUGCUCAGAAAGCUUUGGAUGCACUAUUUGAAAAGAAUUUGAUUUCUCAUGAUACCCAUGCGGAUGCCUAUGCCAAAAGUUUGGAGUCUGAUGAAGCCUAUGAACUUCUUCAUGAGAUUGAGGAGAGAGGAAUUGGACAAACGCUUUUACUUUUUUCAACCUUUUAAGUGGAGCUGCCUGUAUUGGCGCUAUUGGUGAGGGGAUGCAACUCAGGGCUCGCCUCAAAUCAGUGCAUUCUUAAUGGUUUGAUCUCAAUGUAUUCCAGGUGUGAAAACCGUAAACACAGAAGCUGCUUUUCGAGUUUCCCAUGAUACGAGAGACAAAUGUUAAAACUUGGACUUCAAUGAUCACUGGUUUUGCAAAACAUGGAUUUGCAACGAGAGCUCUGGUCACAUUCCAUAAAAUGCUUGAGGCCAGGGGGAGGCCAAAUGAGAUCGCCUAUGUUGCUGUCUUAUCCUCUUGUAGCCAUGUGGGUUUGGUAUCUGAUGGAUGGAAACACUUUAGAUCAAUAGAACAUGGAUUCAUGCCCAGAAUCGAAUACUAUGCAUGCAUGGAUUUAUUGGGCAGAUAAGGCUCCCUUGUUGAAUCCCUUCAGUUCAUACUUUAAAUGCCUUUGCAGGGCUGACACACUUGUCUGGCAUACAUUUCUCAGAGCUUGCCCAGUUCACGGCAAUGUUGAACUUGCAAAACAAGCUGCAGCAAUGAUUUUUGGGUGGGAGCCGGACAACCUUGCUGCUUUUGUUUUGCUAUCAAAUGUGUAUGCAUCAACUGGCCUAAGGGAAGAUGGUUGUAGCUGGACUGAAGCGAAAAAAUAAAAGUUAUAUAUGGGUGACAUGUCACAGAAGAGGCUCGGGAGAUCUAUGAUGUACAGGACCAAUUGGCUAGUCGAAUAAAGAAACUCGGUGAUCUUCUGGAUACUGAAUUUGUUCUUCAUGAUGUGGAGGAGGGACAAAAGGAACAAUAUUUGAGCACAGUGAAAAAAUUACUGUUGUUUUUGGCCUUAUAAGCACCUCCAGUCCGAAACCUAUCUGGGCGUUUAAGAAUCUUAGCAUUUGCAGAGAUUGUCAUUCUGCGAUCAAGUAUAUCUCCAUGGCAACCGGAAGUUCUGUAGUCAUAAGGGAUGCAAACUGGUUCCACCAUUGCACGGACAGAACAUGCGUAUUCAAUGACUACUGUUGAAUGCACUGAUGGGCAAAAGAACAAAACCGCCAUGACGCAGGAAGAGAUUCGCUGGUAGAAACUCCAGACCAAGUAAGGGGAAUGAACGCAGAAUUUCUUGCUAAACCGCGUUAAAUAACAUGAACACCUUCAGAGAAAGCAAAGACAGUUUGAAUCCAAGUGGCUUAAGCUUCGAGCCAUUAAAAGUCGAUGGUAGAAAAGGUCCCCUGACGUUUGCAGCCUGGUGUCCACCUGCUUUGAGGUUCGGAACUUGCGAAAUCGGCAUGUGUGCCCCUCUGUCAUCGCUUGUGCUUCCAACGAAGGACGAGCAAGAUUACUGUGGGGCACGAGAUGUGGAGGUAGCUAGUCAGAUAGAUUCAGCCCUACUCGUCGUCAUUUUUCAAUCACGGGCGUGAUCGCGAGUCAGCUUCUCAACUUGAAAUUGAUGUUGAAGCGUUCGACUAGUUACUCUCGUGAAUGAUAGGAGCAUCCGGGAAAUCGAUGUACGAACCAGCCAAUGUUAAAUUUCUUGCCAGAUUAUCUAAAUCAAGUAUAGAGAAUACUCAACUA